CUGCCCUCAAGCACGGCUUGUGUGUUGGGCCCUGUCCUCCAUCCCCGGGGGACAGGCCCGAAAGGCAGCGGCGGCACCGCGUCCGGUCCUCGAGCGUAUGGGGCUUUGUCACCCGCUCUGUAGGCCCGGCCGGCGCCAGCCGAUCAACCACACUUCUUUCCA
This 162-nucleotide unclassified non-coding RNA is filed under the name Penicillium sp. Its description in RNAcentral is "partial internal transcribed spacer 2". The record is from RNAcentral. Lineage: Eukaryota; Fungi; Ascomycota; Eurotiomycetes; Eurotiales; Aspergillaceae. RNAcentral also lists the same sequence under 3 other names.